RNAcentral lists this ribosomal RNA (1442 nucleotides) under uncultured bacterium. Its description in RNAcentral is "bacterial SSU rRNA". It matches the Rfam family "Bacterial small subunit ribosomal RNA". The record is from RNAcentral.
AGAGUUUGAUCCUGGCUCAGGAUGAACGCUGGCGGCGUGCUUAACACAUGCAAGUCGAACGAACCUUCGGGUUAGUGGCGGACGGGUGAGUAACGCGUGAGAAUCUGCCCUCAGGAGGGGGAUAACGGCUGGAAACGGCCGCUAAUACCCCAUAUGCCGCGAGGUGAAAUGAAUUUCGCCUGAGGAUGAGCUCGCGUCUGAUUAGCUAGUUGGUGGGGUAAGAGCCUACCAAGGCAUCGAUCAGUAGCUGGUCUGAGAGGAUGAUCAGCCACACUGGGACUGAGACACGGCCCAGACUCCUACGGGAGGCAGCAGUGGGGAAUUUUCCGCAAUGGGCGCAAGCCUGACGGAGCAACGCCGCGUGAGGGAUGAAGGCCUCUGGGCUGUAAACCUCUUUUAUCAAGGAAGAAGAUCUGACGGUACUUGAUGAAUAAGCCACGGCUAAUUCCGUGCCAGCAGCCGCGGUAAUACGGGAGUGGCAAGCGUUAUCCGGAAUUAUUGGGCGUAAAGCUCCGCAGGCGGUCUUGUAAUCUGUCGUUAAAGCGUGGAGUUUACUCCAUUUGAGCGAUGAAACUGUAAGACUAGAGGUGGUAGGGCAGAGGGAAUUCCCGGUGUAGCGGUGAAUGCGUAGAUAUCGGGAAGAACACCAGUGGCGGAGGCGCUCUGCUGGGCCAUAACUGACGCUCAUGGACGAAAGCCAGGGGAGCGAAAGGGAUUAGAUACCCCUGUAGUUCUGGCCGUAAACGAUGAACACUAGGUGUCGGGGGAAUCGACCCCCCUCGGUGUCGUAGCCAACGCGUUAAGUGUUCCGCCUGGGGAGUACGCACGCAAGUGUGAAACUCAAAGGAAUUGACGGGGGCCCGCACAAGCGGUGGAGUAUGUGGUUUAAUUCGAUGCAACGCGAAGAACCUUACCAGGGUUUGACAUCCUGCGAAUCUCUUGGAAACGAGAGAGUGCCUUCGGGAACGCAGAGACAGGUGGUGCAUGGCUGUCGUCAGCUCGUGUCGUGAGAUGUUGGGUUAAGUCCCGCAACGAGCGCAACCCACGUCGUUAGUUGCCAGCAUUCAGUUGGGCACUCUAGCGAGACCGCCGGUGAUAAACCGGAGGAAGGUGUGGAUGACGUCAAGUCAUCAUGCCCCUUACAUCCUGGGCUACACACGUACUACAAUGCUACGGACAAAGGGCAGCAAACUCGCGAGAGCUAGCAAAUCCCAUAAACCGUGGCUCAGUUCAGAUCGUAGGCUGCAACUCGCCUACGUGAAGGAGGAAUCGCUAGUAAUCGCAGGUCAGCAUACUGCGGUGAAUACGUUCCCGGGCCUUGUACACACCGCCCGUCACACCAUGGAAGUUGGCCACGCCCGAAGUCGUUACUCCAACCCUUGUGGAGGAGGAUGCCGAAGGUGGGGCUGAUGACUGGGGUGAAGUCGUAACAAGGUAGCCGU